GAUGAACGCUGGCGGCGUGCCUAAUACAUGCCAGUCGAGCGAACAGACGAGGAGCUUGCUCCUCUGACGUUAGCGGCGGACGGGUGAGUAACACGUGGAUAACCUACCUAUAAGACUGGGAUAACUUCGGGAAACCGGAGCUAAUACCGGAUAAUAUAUUGAACCGCAUGGUUCAAUAGUGAAAGACGGUUUUGCUAUCACUUAUAGAUGGAUCCGCGCCGCAUUAGCUAGUUGGUAAGGUAACGGCUUACCAAGGCGACGAUGCGUAGCCGACCUGAGAGGGUGAUCGGCCACACUGGAACUGAGACACGGUCCAGACUCCUACGGGAGGCAGCAGUAGGGAAUCUUCCGCAAUGGGCGAAAGCCUGACGGAGCAACGCCGCGUGAGUGAUGAAGGUCUUCGGAUCGUAAAACUCUGUUAUUAGGGAAGAACAAAUGUGUAAGUAACUAUGCACGUCUUGACGGUACCUAAUCAGAAAGCCACGGCUAACUACGUG
Molecule: ribosomal RNA, 497 nt
Filed under: uncultured bacterium
Lineage: Bacteria
Description: partial 16S ribosomal RNA
Rfam family: Bacterial small subunit ribosomal RNA
Source: RNAcentral